GACGAACGCUGGCGGCGUGCUUAACACAUGCAAGUCGAACGGAAAGGCCCUGCUUGCUGGGUACUCGAGUGGCGAACGGGUGAGUAACUCGUGGGUGAACCGCCCUGCACUUCGGGAUAAGCCUGGGAGACUGGGUCUAAUCCCGGAUAGCAGCCACUUUUAGUGUGAUGGUUGGAAAGUUUUUUCGGUGUUGGAUGAGCUCGCGGCCUAUUGGCUUGUUGGUGGGGUAAUGGCCUACCAAGGCGACAACGGGUAGCCGGCCAGCGAGGGUGGUCGGCCAUCCAGGGUCCUAGAGGCGGCCCAAGCGCCGAAGGGUGGCAGCAGGGGGGAAGAUUGCUCCAUCGGCGCAGGCCUGAUGCAGAGGCGCCUCGUGUGGGAUGACCGUCUUCUGGUUGUAAACUCCUUUCGGUAGAGACGAAGCUUGUUGUGACGGUACCUAGAUAAUAAGCACCGGCUAACUACGUG
RNAcentral lists this ribosomal RNA (465 nucleotides) under uncultured bacterium. Its description in RNAcentral is "partial 16S ribosomal RNA". It matches the Rfam family "Bacterial small subunit ribosomal RNA", at positions 28 to 507 of the family's 1533-position model. The record is from RNAcentral.